RNAcentral lists this ribosomal RNA (429 nucleotides) under Acidobacteriota bacterium. Its description in RNAcentral is "Acidobacteria bacterium partial 16S ribosomal RNA". It matches the Rfam family "Bacterial small subunit ribosomal RNA", at positions 355 to 776 of the family's 1533-position model. The record is from RNAcentral. Lineage: Bacteria; Pseudomonadati; Acidobacteriota.
UGGGGAAUUUUGGACAAUGGGGGAAACCCUGAUCCAGCCAUCCCGCGUGUGCGAUGAAGGCCUUCGGGUUGUAAAGCACUUUUGGCAGGAAAGAAACGUCAUGGGUUAAUACCCCGUGAAACUGACGGUACCUGCAGAAUAAGCACCGGCUAACUACUUUCCAGCAGCCGCGGUAAUACGUAGGGUGCAAGCGUUAAUCGGAAUUACUGUGCGUAAAGCGUGCGCAGGCGGUUCGGAAAGAAAGAUGUGAAAUCCCAGAGCUCAACUUUGGAACUGCAUUUUUAACUACCGGGCUAGAGUGUGUCAGAGGGAGGUGGAAUUCCGCGUGUAGCAGUGAAAUGCGUAGAUAUGCGGAGGAACAACGAUGGCGAAGGCAGCCUCCUGGGAUAACACUGACGCUCAUGCACGAAAGCGUGGGGAGCAAACAGG